UGUUAGGGCCUAGAGGACUCAAGCCAGAGCAAAUGAGCAGCAGAUUUUGCACCUGUAGUUUGCCAGCUUGAAUCUGACCCAGAGCAGCUGUUCACAUCAGAGGCUAUUGGGUGGCCUGUGUAGAAGGACAGUGAGAUGGUCCUUUGAGAAUUUUCUGCUACUGAAGAAAGAGUUCCCUUCCUCUUGGCUGCCGAACAUCUUUGCACCACACCUGGGAAUGACGCUGGUCACAUUCUCCUGUCUCCUGGCUUUGGAUCUGAAUGUUUCACCACGUUAUUAUAAUGUCGAUGUUCAGAUCAAGUCCCUAAGGUGAU
Molecule: long non-coding RNA, 314 nt
Filed under: Struthio camelus australis
Lineage: Eukaryota; Metazoa; Chordata; Aves; Struthioniformes; Struthionidae
Description: lncRNA (ENSSCUG00000015659.1)
Source: RNAcentral